AUUGAACGCUGGCGGCAGGCCUAACACAUGCAAGUCGAGCGGAUGAAGGGAGCUUGCUCCUGGAUUCAGCGGCGGACGGGUGAGUAAUGCCUAGGAAUCUGCCUGGUAGUGGGGGAUAACGUCCGGAAACGGGCGCUAAUACCGCAUACGUCCUGAGGGAGAAAGUGGGGGAUCUUCGGACCUCACGCUAUCAGAUGAGCCUAGGUCGGAUUAGCUAGUUGGUGGGGUAAAGGCCUACCAAGGCGACGAUCCGUAACUGGUCUGAGAGGAUGAUCAGUCACACUGGCAGUGAGACACGGUCCAGACUCCUACGGGAGGACGCAGUGGGGAAUAUUGGACGAUGGGCGAGAGCCUGAUCCAGCCAUGCCGCGUGUGUGAAGAAGGUCUUCGGAUUGUAAAGCAAUUUAAGUUGGGAGGAAGGGCAGUAAGUUAAUACCUUGCUGUUUUGACGUUACCAACAGAAUAAGCACCGGCUAACUUCGUG
This 484-nucleotide ribosomal RNA is filed under the name uncultured bacterium. Its description in RNAcentral is "partial 16S ribosomal RNA". It matches the Rfam family "Bacterial small subunit ribosomal RNA", at positions 30 to 507 of the family's 1533-position model. The record is from RNAcentral.